UGAAUGCCUUGGAAAAUGGAGCCGAAGAAGGACGUGAUUACCUGCGAAAAGUCUGGGGGAGCUGGAAGUAAGCUGCGAUCCCGGAAUGUCCGAAUGGGGAAACCUAACAUGAUUUAUCUCAUGUUAUCUAUAAGUGAAUACAUAGCUUAUAAGAAGGGAACCUAGGGAACUGAAACAUCUUAGUACCUAGAGGAAAAGAAAAUAAUAAUGAUUCUGUUAGUAGUGGCGAGCGAACACGGAACAGGCCAAACCGUUCUACGGGGCGGGGUUGUAGGACUUUUGUUAGAGUUACAAAGUUAUUGUAUAGUAGAAGCUAUUGGGAAGUAGCGGCAUAGAGGGUGAUACCCCCGUAUACGAAAUGCAAUAACCUCGAGAAAGUAUCCUGAGUACGGCGAAACACGUGAAAUUUUGUCGGAAUCUGCCAAGACCACUUGGUAAGCCUAAAUACUACCAUUUUACCGAUAGUGAACCAGUACCGUGAGGGAAAGGUGAAAAGCACCCCGAGAGGGGAGUGAAAGAGAUCCUGAAACCAUAUGCUUACAAGAAGGUAGAGCCCGUUAAUGGGUGAUACCGUGCUUUUUGUAGAAAGAGCCGGCGAGUUACUAUUGCAUGCGAGGUUAAGUCGAUAUAGAUGGAGCCGUAGUGAAAGCGAGCCUUAAUAGGGCGUUUAGUAUGCAGUAGUAGACACGAAACCGGGUGAUCUAGCCAUGAGCAGGUUGAAGUUAGGGUAAAACCUAAUGGAGGACCGAACCAGUAUUCGUUGAAAAGACUUUGGAUGACUUGUGGCUAGCGGUGAAAUUCCAAUCGAACCCGGAGAUAGCUAGUUCUCCCCGAUAUAUCUUUAAGGAUAGCGUUAUGUGAAUUGUUGUGGAGGUAGAGCACUGAAUCUAUGAUGGCUGCACCUAGCGGUACUGAUUAGAAUUAAACUCCGAAUGCCAUAACUUGUGCAUAGCAGUCAGAACAUGGGUGAUAAGGUCCAUGCUCGUGAGGGAAACAGCCCAGAUCGUCAGCUAAGGUCCCUAAGUGUAAACUAAGUGUGUAAGGAUGUGGAACUGCACAGACAGCUAGGAUGUUGGCUUAGAAGCAGCCAUCAUUUAAAGAGUGCGUAACAGCUCACUAGUCGAGUGAUUCUGCGCCGAAAAUGUACCGGGGCUUAAGUUUACCACCGAAGCUACGGAUUGUACGCAAGUACAGUGGUAGGGGAGCGUUCCAAGGGUGAUGAAGUCAGACCGUAAGGACUGGUGGAGCGCUUGGAAGUGAUUAUGCCGGCAUGAGUAACGUUUGGAAGUGAGAAUCUUCCAUGCCGUUUGACCAAGGUUUCCUGGGCAAGGUUCGUCCACCCAGGGUUAGUCAGGACCUAAGACGAGGCCGACAGGCGUAGUCGAUGGACAACAGGUUGAUAUUCCUGUACCAGUUAAUUAGUGAUGGAGUGACGGAGAAGGAUAGUAUAUCCCGGGUGCUGGUUGUCCCGGGCUAAGCACAAAGACGGCAACAUUGGCAAAUCCGUGUUGUAUUAACGUUGAAGUGUGAUGGGGAGUGAACGGUUCGCCUAGUAACGAAGUAUAUGACUCCACGCUUCCAAGAAAAGCUUCUAACAUUAAUAAUUAACUGCCUGUACCUAGAACGAACACACGUGGUCAAGGAGAAAAUCCUAAGGCAAGCGAGAUAACUGUAGCUAAGGAACUCUGCAAAAUAACUCCGUAACUUCGGAAGAAGGAGUGCUCAUCUUUGAUGAGCCGCAGUGAAGAGGGAGGGGCAACUGUUUAACAAAAACACAGCUCUCUGCUAAGUCGCAAGACGAUGUAUAGGGGGUGACACCUGCCCAGUGCCGGAAGGUUAAGAGGAGAAGUCAGCGCAAGCGAAGCUUUGAAUUGAAGCCCCGGUGAACGGCGGCCGUAACAAUAACGGUCCUAAGGUAGCGAAAUUCCUUGUCAGGUAAAUUCUGACCCGCACGAAAGGUGUAAUGAUCCCUUCGCUGUCUCGGCUGCAGACUCGGUGAAAUUUUAGUACCGGUGAAGAUGCCGGUUACCCGCAACUAGACGGAA
This 2045-nucleotide ribosomal RNA is filed under the name Listeria monocytogenes. RNAcentral describes it as "partial 23S ribosomal RNA". It matches the Rfam family "Bacterial large subunit ribosomal RNA", at positions 25 to 2085 of the family's 2925-position model. Lineage: Bacteria; Bacillati; Bacillota; Bacilli; Caryophanales; Listeriaceae. The record is from RNAcentral.